This 301-nucleotide ribosomal RNA is filed under the name uncultured bacterium. RNAcentral describes it as "partial 16S ribosomal RNA". It matches the Rfam family "Bacterial small subunit ribosomal RNA", at positions 509 to 809 of the family's 1533-position model. The record is from RNAcentral.
CAGCCGCCGCGGGAAUACGUAGGUGGCAAGCGUUGUCCGGAAUUAUUGGGCGUAAAGGGCUCGCAGGCGGUUUCUUAAGUCUGAUGUGAAAGCCCCCGGCUCAACCGGGGAGGGUCAUUGGAAACUGGGAAACUUGAGUGCAGAAGAGGAGAGUGGAAUUCCACGUGUAGCGGUGAAAUGCGUAGAGAUGUGGAGGAACACCAGUGGCGAAGGCGACUCUCUGGUCUGUAACUGACGCUGAGGAGCGAAAGCGUGGGGAGCGAACAGGAUUAGAGACCCCCGUAGUCCCUGUUCUUAUACA